AUUAAACUCAAUAUGGUGUUCACAUAAUCACAGUCUUUCCAACAGAUGCUAUUAUCAUGAAUGACCAAUUAACCAAGCACAGAUGCAAUCAAGUAUAACAAGAACUACUCCUCACCAAGAAAAGUGUUUCACUCAAGCACACAGGUGUAUAUUGAGGUGACUCAUUCUCUCUACUAUCACAAUGUCACACAAAUUAACUUUGCCUUUCAUUUAACAACAAUCAAUCAUACUCACAAGCAAGUUAUCAUCACAAGGACUUUUUAUGGCUUGUAAUGUGGUUGGGCUAAGAAGAACAUUGGUUUUUCUGGAUCACAAAAUCCUUGAGUUAAGAGAGUUAUUCACAUUUAUAUUUUAAACACAAACUCUCUUUAAACAACCAAUCUCACUGAUUCCCAACUUUCCCUUUUCUUCGCAUUGAGCUUUUCUUCUCAUUUUAUCUUUUUGUUUCUUUUUUUCUUUUUUUAUCUUUUUCAUCUUUUCAAGUUUUGCUCAACACAUUAGCUCAAUGCUUAUCUUUUUCUUUUUCAACUUUCCCAACAACCCC
Molecule: long non-coding RNA, 544 nt
Filed under: Vigna radiata
Lineage: Eukaryota; Viridiplantae; Streptophyta; Magnoliopsida; Fabales; Fabaceae
Description: long non-coding RNA (VRAD_LNC006281)
Source: RNAcentral